CACUCGCUCUCUCAUUUUUUCCCUGCUUCCAAACAAGCGGGAAGCUUCUGGUCAGCAAACUGAUGCGAACGCAGAAGUCCCAUAAACUGUAAUCUAUUGUACGGCCAGCAGGGGGCGACUCUUCUGGUUACAAAAAGAAGUCCAGUUCCAUCAGAAAUAAUGGUUGGCAGGAGGCGUGACUGGUGGGGACGCAUGGGGCUGGCUCCCACACCUGUCUGGCAGACUGAUUGGCACACCUGAUGCGUAUCAUGUCAAUCUGUGCUGCUUGAUAAGCCGUGCAGUUCUCCUCUGUCUUCACUGGAUUGUUACGUUGAGUACUCCUGGAAAGGACGCCGACCCAAGUGCUCAUACCUGCCUGCUUCUUUGGAGGAUUACACUCUGCCUGCCUGCCCAGCCUAUCUUCAAGCCAGCCACACAGCUAUACUCCCCUGCUCCCACCUUGUCUUGCGUGUGCACAACUACUGUUCAAUAAACUUUUUGAAUGAUA
Micropterus dolomieu (smallmouth bass) is the source of this 487-nucleotide long non-coding RNA. RefSeq lists it as uncharacterized. The transcript has 3 exons. The record is from RefSeq and is a predicted model, not a curated record. Lineage: Eukaryota; Metazoa; Chordata; Actinopteri; Centrarchiformes; Centrarchidae.